RNAcentral lists this unclassified non-coding RNA (394 nucleotides) under Hevea brasiliensis (rubber tree). The record is from RNAcentral. Lineage: Eukaryota; Viridiplantae; Streptophyta; Magnoliopsida; Malpighiales; Euphorbiaceae.
ACGUUAUAAUAAAAAAAACUAGUAAUAAUAAAGCUUUGGGCAACUUUGAGAAAAACUUCUAUCAAUGCUUGAGAUUAGGAAAAUGAAUAAUCCUAAAGAUGCAAGUAACCAAUGAAUCGCCCACCGAUUUCUCAAUAAGCUUCCUGCUGGAAAACCAGAAAAUCGAAGCUAUAGAAUUUGGACGGCUUAAAGACUAUGAGUCCUAUAGUUAAUUAUUAGUAUCACGCUCCACUUGACCACAGAUAAACAUUUAAGGGAAAUAAAGAAUCGAUAGCCUGAAAUUCUUCUUAAAGGUGGAGCUCUCAAAGAAAAGAGUUGAAUAUAUUUACAGGACUGAAACCUAGGAAACCCAUGUACUACUAGAGGAAUGAGAAAAGGAAGAGCUCCAAAAAGA